GGAGAGGUGUCCGAGUGGUUUAAGGAGCACGACUGGAACUCGUGUGGGUGUUAAUAGCGCCUCGAGGGUUCGAAUCCCUCUCUCUCCGCCA
This 91-nucleotide transfer RNA is filed under the name Gammaproteobacteria bacterium. RNAcentral describes it as "tRNA-Ser". It matches the Rfam family "tRNA". Rfam says of the family: Transfer RNA (tRNA) molecules are approximately 80 nucleotides in length. Lineage: Bacteria; Pseudomonadati; Pseudomonadota; Gammaproteobacteria. The record is from RNAcentral.